UGGUGUGGCUCAAUGGCAGAGCAGCUGAUUUGUAAUCAGCAGGUUGUUGGUUCGACUCC
Molecule: transfer RNA, 59 nt
Filed under: human gut metagenome
Rfam family: tRNA
About the family: Transfer RNA (tRNA) molecules are approximately 80 nucleotides in length.
Source: RNAcentral